Molecule: ribosomal RNA, 465 nt
Filed under: uncultured bacterium
Lineage: Bacteria
Description: partial 16S ribosomal RNA
Rfam family: Bacterial small subunit ribosomal RNA
Source: RNAcentral
GACGAACGCUGGCGGCGUGCUUAACACAUGCAAGUCGAACGGAAAGGCCCUGCUUGCAGGGUACUCGAGUGGCGAACGGGUGAGUAACACGUGGGUGAUCUGCCCUGCACUUCGGGAUAGGCCUGGGAAACUGGGUCUAAUACCGGAUAGGAGCCAUUUUUAGUGUGAUGGUUGGAAAGUUUUUUCGGUGUAGGAUGAGCUCGCGUCCUAUCAGCUUGUUGGUGGGGUAAUGGCCUACCAAGGCGGCGACGGGUAGCCGGCCUGAGAGGGUGGACGGCCACACUGGGACCGUGCGACGGCCAAGACUCCUACGGGAGGCAGAAGGGGGGAAAGUUGCACAAUGGGCGGCAGCCUGAGGCAGCGAGGCCGCCGGGGGGAUGACGGCCGUCGGGUGGUAAAAUCAUUUCGCUAGGGACGAAGCUUUUUGUGACGGUACCUAGAUAAGAAGCACCGGCUAACUACGUG